AUACGGAGGGUGCAAGCGUUACUCGGAAUCACUGGGCGUAAAGCGCGCGCAGGCGGUCUUUUAAGUUGGAUGUGAAAGCCUACGGCUCAACCGUAGAACUGCAUCCAAAACUAUUAGACUAGAGUGUGGGAGAGGAAGAUGGAAUUAGUUGUGUAGGAGUAAAAUCCGUAGAGAUAACUAGGAAUACCAAAAGCGAAGGCAAUCUUCUGGAACACUACUGACGCUGAGGCGCGAAAGCGUGGGGAGCAAACAGGAUUAGAUACCCUAGUAGUCC
This 274-nucleotide ribosomal RNA is filed under the name uncultured bacterium. Its description in RNAcentral is "partial 16S ribosomal RNA". It matches the Rfam family "Bacterial small subunit ribosomal RNA", at positions 523 to 796 of the family's 1533-position model. The record is from RNAcentral.